CAGUGGCUGAGCCUGCUGCCACGGCCUCUUCUUCAAAUCCACCUUCACCACCACUCGUGGACUUGCUGGAGCCAUCAAACCGAACCAAUAAAUUCCUUAUCCACAACUAAAGGACAGUAAAAGAUCCCAUCUUUCACCAUCUCGUAGACUUUUCUAUAUCUAGACAAAUGACUUUCAUUCAUCUUAGUAUCUUACAAAGUGGAUAAUGCCGUAAGACACGGUCUCUAUGUUUGGAGAGAGGAGGAGCUCACGAAGGAGGAAUUUUACAUUCGACUUAUUAAUUGCGCAGUUUUGCAAUUCAAUGAAAGCUAUUUUCAGACAGAAUCUGAUGCAUCACCCUAAAGAGUGCAUAUAAAG
Long non-coding RNA from Arabidopsis lyrata subsp. lyrata, 357 nucleotides. RefSeq lists it as uncharacterized. The transcript is spliced from 3 exons. The record is from RefSeq and is a predicted model, not a curated record. NCBI's taxonomy places the organism in Eukaryota, Viridiplantae, Streptophyta, Magnoliopsida, Brassicales, Brassicaceae.